CUUACUGUCUGUAAACUUCUGAUCCACUGGAAUUGUGAUACAGUGAAUUAUAAGUGAAAUAAUCUGUAAACAAUUGUUGUGUCAGGCACAAAGUAGAUGUUCUAACAGACUUGCCAAAACUAUAGUUUGUUACCAAGAAAUAUGUGGAGUGGUUGAAAAACAAGUUUUAAUGACCCCAACCUAAGUGUAUGUAAACAUCCUGACUUCAACUGUAGUUGAUUUUAUUAAAAAAAACAUAGGGUUUGUCUAUAUAUGGAAAAAUACACAUUUAAACAUUUUUACCAAUUGAUUAGUCGAAAUAAGACGACUUUUGGCCGACCAAGAUUAUUAUUUUUUUGUCGGGGACAGCCCUAAACAAGUGACAUCAUUAAGGGAUCAUAGCUUUCACCUGGAUUCAACUGGUCAGUCAUGGAAAGAGCAUAAUGUUCUUUACACUCAAUGUAUAUUUCCAUGUUGAAGCCAUGCAAUUACUUAGAACAAUGUGGACUGCGAACAGGUUCAAGUUAACGUAUUUCGCAAAGAUGGGACAUGUUGUUACGUUGUUUCUGUAAGACGGGAUAGGUCUACAUGUUGUUACGUUGUUUCUGUAAGAUGGGAUAGGUCUACAUGUUGUUACGUUGUUUCUGUAAGACGGGAUAGGUCUACAUGUUGUUACGUUGUUUCUGUAAGACGGGAUAGGUCUACAUGUUGUUACGUUGUUUCUGUAAGAUGGGAUAGGUCUACAUGUUGUUACGUUGUUUCUGUAAGACGGGAUAGGUCUACAUGUUGUUACGUUGUUUCCGUAAGAUGGGAUAGGUCUACAUGUUGUUACGUUGUUUCUGUAAGAUGGGAUAGGUCUACAUGUUGUUACGUUGUUUCCGUAAGAUGGGAUAGGUCUACAUGUUGUUACGUUGUUUCUGUAAGACGGGAUAGGUCUACAUGUUGUUUCUGUAAGAUGGGAUAGGUCUACAUGCUGUUACGUUGUUUCUGUAAGAUGGGAUAGGUCUACAUGUUGUUACGUUGUUUCUGUAAGAUGGGAUAGGUCUACAUGUUGUUUCUGUAAGAUGGGAUAGGUCUACAUGUUGUUACGUUGUUUCUGUAAGAUGGGAUAGGUCUACAUGUUGUUUCCGUAAGACGGGAUAGGUCUACAUGUUGUUACGUUGUUUCUGUAAGAUGGGAUAGGUCUACAUGUUGUUACGUUGUUUCUGUAAGAUGGGAUAGGUCUACAUGUUGUUACGUUGUUUCUGUAAGAUGGGAUAGGUCUACAUGUUGUUACGUUGUUUCUGUAAGAUGGGAUAGGUCUACAUGUUGUUACGUUGUUUCUGUAAGAUGGGAUAGGUCUACAUGUUGUUACGUUGUUUCUGUAAGCUACUUAACAAACUAUAACGGACUAACAUUGCAAUUGGAGUUGAUGACAAUGCAAUACAUAAAACAAACAACUUGAAGCAACCACGUAUUUAGCUAUGGAGCACAUUCUCAUUGGCCAGUGAGGGGCCAAGUCUCGACACACCCACAACUGGUUUAUUCAUCAAAACCCAGCCCUUUGGCGCCACAGCCAGCAACGGCGGCCAUAAUUCUGGAUGUGAAAAUAGCUAAAAUAGUUCUGACAAAGCCCUGAACCUAUUGCGCUACCGUCAGCACUUAGAUUGAACAUUUUGUUAGAUCUGUCCGAAAAAUGCGCCUGGUCUUGGUCUUUCUAAUGAGAAAGUGGUUUAUAGACCCACAUUCACUCUGGGGAAUGGUGGAUGCAUAAAUAUAGCCACCACUAACGAGCCAUGUUGAAAAGACAAUAGAAGAGUUGUAUGCUGGUGUCUGGUACUUUAGGUUAAUACUUCCAAGGGGCGCUGUGAGAGUAAUACCACGAGAGAAAAAAAAGAGACCAAAACCAGCGAAAGUUGUCUUGCUUUUUCCGCAGGUAAUGGUUUGCAGCAUGCCCAUACUAAAUCACACACACAUAUAGGCUAGGCCUACACACGCUAAGCCAGUGAAAGUAUCAUAUCCUAUUCCUUAUAGUUGUGGUUAUGAAGUCCAAAUGUUCCUGUUUCACUAUUAGCAGAACACACACACACACACUUUCACUCCUUGGAGCAUUUUGGAGGUGGGGGAGUGGGGUUAUGUCAAACACACACACACACACACUGAUUAACUUCCUGUUCCGUAAGGUACGUAAAACCACCAAGUUUCACCUGGUCUCACUGCACAUCCGUGUGCAUGUGUGUGUGUGUGUGUGCAUGGACUUUUGCACACACACCCAAAACCACAGACCAUAAUGAUAUAUUGUCCAUGUCACUACUUAUAUCGGACCAAUUUAGAUUGUGUGUGUGUGUGUGUGUGUGUGUGUGUGUGUAUAGAACGAAGAUUCACUGAGAAUUCAUGUUUGACAUUUCCUGCACUGUGCAGAUGACACACACAAGGAGCUCCCCCACCCACAAAAAAACAAAACAACUUCUUAAGAGAGAAUAUAUAGAGAAAAUGAAAGAGAGAGAGAGAGAGAGGAAAAAUAUACAGACAUCAGGCCCAUAGAGUAUACUCAUAUUUGAACCCCUGGCUAAGUGCAUCCAAGCACUGUUUACAGUAACACUUCAAACAGACACACAGAGACAUCACAGUAUGUACUCCACAUAUGACAUACACACACACACCACAAAACACACACCGGGCUGCUCAGACAGUCCCCUGAAUUCCCCUGUCAGAUUUAGUAUAUUUUGAGGUAAGCCAAAAGACUACAGAGUGCCUUCGAAAAGUUCAGACCCCUUGAUAAAAUCAUUUCCCCCCCCUCAAAUCUACACAGAAUUCCCCCAUAAUAUCCCAUUUACAUACGUAUUCAGACCCUUUCCUUAGUACUUUGUUGAAUCACCUUUGGCAGCGAUUACCACUGAGUCUUCUUGGGUAUGUCGCUACAAGCUUGGCACACCUGUGUUUGGGGAGUUUCUCCCAUUCUUCUCUGCAGAUCAUUUCAAGCUCUGUCAGGAUGGAUGAGGAGCGCUGCUGCACAGCCAUUUUCAGGUCUCUCAUUUUGCACAGCCAUUUUCAGGCCUAAGAGUUCAACCUUGGUUUCAUCAGACCAGAGAAUCAUGGUCUGAGAAACUUCAGGUUCCGUUUGGCAAACUCCAAGCGGGCUGUCAUGUGCCUUUUACUGAAGAGUGGCUUCCGUCUGGCCACUCUACCAUAAAGGCCUGAUUGGUGGAGUGCUGCAGAAGGUUCUCCCAUCUCCACUGAGAAACUCUAGAGCUCUGUCAGAGUGACCAUCAGGUUCUUGGUCACCUCCCUGACCAAGGCCCUUCUCCCCGAUUGCUCAGUUUGGCCGGGCGGUCAGCUCUAGGAAGAGUCUUGGUGGUUCCAAACUUCUUCCAUUUAAGAAUGAUGGAGGCCACUGUGUUGUUGAGGACCUUCAAUGCUGCAGAAAUGUUUUGGUACCCUUCACCAGAUAUGUGCCUCCACACAAUCCUGUCUCGUGCUCUAUGGACAAUUCCUUCGAAAUCAUGGCUUAGUUUUUGCUCUGACAUGCACAGUCAACUGUGGGACCUUAUAUAGACAGAUGUGUGCCUUUCAAAAUCAUGUCCAAUCAAUUGAAGUUACCACAGGUGGACUCCAAUCAAGAUGGAGAAACAUCUCAAGGAUGAUCAAUGGAAACAGGAUCCACCUGAACUCAAUUUCAAGUCUCAUAGUAAAGGGUCUGAAUCCUUAUGUUUUCAAAUGUUUUCACUUUGUCGUUAUGGGGUAUUCUGUGUAGCUUGCUGAGGAUUAAAAAAAAUGUAUUUUAUCAAUUUUAGAACAAGGCUGUAAUGUAACAAAAUGUGGAAAAAGUCAAGGGGUCUGAAUAUUUUCCCGAAGGCACUAUAGGUCAGGGGUUAUUAUGUGUGGUCCUUCUGUAGCUCAGUUGGUAGAGCAUGGCGCUUGUAACGCCAGGGUAGUGGGUUCGAUUCCCGGGACCACCCAUACGUAGAAUGUAUGCACACAUGACUGUAAGUCGCUUUGGAUAAAAGCGUCUGCUAAAUGGCAUAUAUUAUUAUUAUUUAUUAUAUUAUGGGUAAACCCCCCCUCUCUCUGUCACACCUGUGGCUUGGCUCAGAAACUCAACAUUGCGAAAGGCAAUCUCUGAAUUUUAAAAGUCCAUCAACAGUGCAGAGGUCGUUAAUCUGUGUUUGUUUGAAUCCUGGCCAUAGCGCAUAAUGUCCUGCGAUUAAGGUGUGCAGUCCCUCCAUUUGAAGUA
This is a long non-coding RNA of Oncorhynchus keta (chum salmon), 4192 nucleotides long. RefSeq lists it as uncharacterized. The transcript has 3 exons. The record is from RefSeq and is a predicted model, not a curated record. NCBI's taxonomy places the organism in Eukaryota, Metazoa, Chordata, Actinopteri, Salmoniformes, Salmonidae.